Long non-coding RNA from Solanum pennellii, 2515 nucleotides. RefSeq lists it as uncharacterized. NCBI's taxonomy places the organism in Eukaryota, Viridiplantae, Streptophyta, Magnoliopsida, Solanales, Solanaceae. The transcript is spliced from 2 exons. The record is from RefSeq and is a predicted model, not a curated record.
GUUUAAGCUACAUUUUUUAAGUUGUUUAUUAGGCUAGUUCUUUUUGUUUAGUUACACUGAAUAGUUGACAGUCUGACAGUUGUUUUGGUUAGAACCUACCAAAAAAUAUGCUAGAGAAUGUUGAAUCUAGGAUCUCUUGUUUGGGCCUUAGGUUUUGCGUCCUGUACUAAACCUCGCAAGCAUAUCAAGACACUGUUAAAGCUGAAAGAUAUGCUUGAUACAUCUAUUAGUAUGGAGAUUUUGUUUUGACUUAGCCCUAGUUGUUACUGUUCUAUUUCGUGGUGUUUAAUAUAUGAAGGUACAACUUAAAAGAGAAACCUCAAGUACAAAUAUUUUAAGUAUUGAUAGCAGGUUGCUUUAUCGUUCUUGUUCCCAGAAGCUGGUCUAUCUUGCAUCUGUAUUUUACAUGAAUUUUGAAGACGUUAGAAGCAAAUCUGAUUCAGUUUUGGAAUUUAUGCGCUCAAUGUUUACUUUGGUGAUUUUAAUGCCUAUUUGGGCUUGCAAGACAUGGUGUAAUUUUGUAGUAAUUGAUGAAAACUACUAAAUUAGUUUUCAAGGAAAAGAGCGGGAACCAUGAUGCAAAUUAAUGCAAACGCCAAGCAGAAUUUAAGCGAACUUAUUAACAAAAUAAUCAUGAAUAAUCGAGAAUCUACUGCAAAAAGAGUGAUAGGUAGUGAAUACGGAACACUGAAAAUCUGCCAGUUUGGUGCAACCAUUCUGUAACUGAUUAGGGACUAAGGAAAGCCUAUUUGGAAGAGGAAAAUCAAGGAUCUACACUUGUUUCCAUAGGUUACUCCUCCAUUGGUCAUAUUAGGAUAUAUGUCACGGAUUUGUCUUCUUUAUUGCUAUACACUCCUCACUUUAUAAGUUUCUGUUCCACCUUACUUUUUUAUUGGUUUGUUUUUGUAUGACAUUAGUGGUGGGCUGCUGGCAAACACGGCCGGAAAAACUGUAUUUAAUGGGUGGGGACAAAUGGUAUUUUUGAUGAUGGGUGAUUUGGGGAAAUAGCCCAAACCAACCAUGUAGUGAACUGGUCAACUUGGACUGAAUCAAUAACCCAAAUCAACCCGUGAAACUGUAAAAGGCAGAGCCCGAUUGAUCAUCACCAUAAUUUUGAGCAUAUAUGGAGACAUAGGUGGGCGUGUAAUAAACUGGUAAAUGAGGCUAUCUUUAUUCAUUCUAAGAUUCUAACAUUUUGUCAUUUUUUUUGUCUAAAAGGAUGAGAAUAUUUUUUUCCGUUGUAACAACAAUAUUAUUUUUCAGAUAAACUAGUGAACUGUCAUACAAGUUAUAGGUCUCGUAAAAUAUCCAUAUAGGAAGACUAGUUUCUGAAGAGGCCUCUUGAAUGAGAGAUAUAAGAACCAGAAGUAUGGCAACUACUAGAAAUCCACAUUUUACUAGAGGCAUCCAACCUUUUCACUGAACAAACUCAAAAUUUUUGGUAUCAAUAGCUUGAGCAGGCAGAUGAUUCACAAAUAUCGGGAAACAUGUGUGUGAAGCAACAAACUGAGGCAACCAAUUCCAUGAAAAAGAUGCUCUCUCCAAGUCCUUAUUCAAUCCUUGAUAAAUCUGUUGGGUCUAUUGUAGUUGUGAUUGCUCUCCAUAUUACUGUGUGCUAUAUGAGAAACAACACCCACAAUAUAGCCAAUACUGUGUGCAUAUGCAACAAUAGACCAACAGUACUAAUAGGCUGAGAAAAGGGAGAGACGAUUGAUGUGCACAAAUUUAUCUUUGAGAAAAGGAUUUUUCAACAUACAUUUCAAAUUGGAUUUAUUUUUUAAUUGCAUAUAGAAAUACUCAACUUGGAAACUUCAUAACUCUCUAUAGUCCAUAUGGUUAUUUUUGUUCCUAAGUGUAUGAUCUUUUAUUUUUAGCUCCAUGUAUAUAUCUCACGUAGUUUAGUUUCUAUAUUAUGUCUUUACAUUUGCAAGAAUCUGAACAAUGUCUGACUUCAUUAUGCAAAUGAGAAGAAAAGAUAAAGUAUUAUGUUGCAAUCUAUAUGAUUGUGUGCAGUGUUGUGGACGGCGAGAGGCGACAAAAGGCGACAAGGGCCUGCCUCGCCACGCGGCGAGGCGCUUGCCUUUUUGAAUAAAGGCGCGAAUUAAUACCAAAAAUUAAAAAUAUUUAAUUGCAUAUUUUAUCCAAAAUCUUAAUAGCAAUAACACAUAUUAGCAAAUAUUCAAUUCAAAAAUCAAUAGUAGAUACUAAAAUGUCUAAAACUUUAAAGACCAAACAAUUCAAAAUACAAUAAACCAAAACUUUAAAAGUCUAUUCUUCUUCAAAAUUAUAACCCUUGAGUGCCAUAAUUCCAUCCAAUGUCCCUCUUUUUGCUAGCAUCCGCCAUUGAUUAUUAAAUUCAAUUAAUUCGCUGUUUAGGACUAUUGGAAUAAAUAAUUAGGAAAAGAGAGGAUUUAUUUUAAUUAACUGCCUAUAAUUUAAAAAAAAAAGUUUACACAAAGCAGUAAGCAACUAAGCACUGCUUAGUGCUUACAACCUUACACCAAAAAAACACAAC